AAAAAACAACACAAAAACAAUUCAGUUGUUUAGUUUUCUGAUUGAUUGUCCAACAAUGUGACGUGUUUGGUGGGCGAGUGUUUUGGUGCGUUUGUCAAAGUGACAUAUGGGGACAUUUUUAUGAAAUUUCACCUUACAUAUGAGGACCUGUUGAAAUAUGGGGACAUUUUCCAUGUCCCCAUAUUUCCCGCAAUGCUAUCGUGUUCUAGACCCUCCCAGCAUGUUCCCAGACCAAAAAUCUCUAAAGUCUUCAUUUGUCAAAUUUUCAGAAAAAGUGUGUGAAAGUGUGUUUAAUUUUUUUGGUCACCUUCGAUUUUGCCCCUAGUGGCCAUCUUUGCUAUUAUGACACACACACACACACUUGUCCUCAUAUGUCAUAUGUCCUCAUAUGUCAUGUGGGUCAGAAACUCACACACUCCAACAUUUGAAAAACAUCUAAUCAUUACAGCAAUAAAUAUACUUUUGAAUUCUAAAUCAAAUAACACAUUUUCAACUGAUCUGAUGAUCUCAACCUUUUUUAUGUUAGUUUUAUCUAUUCAUUUGGUUUAUCUGGAGAGGAUUUGUGCUGGACAAUCAAUAAUAAAGGGAUUAUGGUGAUGAUUUAAUCGGUUUGAUUCAGUAUUUUACUGUAUUGGGCUUUUUUCUAUUCUGUUGUCUAAAAUACAAUGCCGCACAAUAAUUACUUUAAAUGUGCCUGAAAAAAAACCUUCAACCUUGAUUGAGACAAAGGCGAUAAUUCAAAUGCAAUUCAAACUACAUCCAGUGUUUAAUAUUUUCAAAUGGUUACAAUAGCACAUGAUUUUGGUAUUUUUAUCUUUGGGACAAAUUUUGGAUUCAAUUGGGGAUUGUUUUUGGAGGUAUUCACUUCACAUUGUGUUCAAGAUGCUUACUUCCGCCCACUCUGAAGAGUCUCGGCGUCUGAUUGGUCCAAUUUUUAGUUAGGCGCCGCCUGAUUGGCCGCUGGACGAUGUCUGCUCCUAACAGAGGGCUAAAUCACUAGUUAACUAUUUUCAUCAUGGAAGUUAUACAGCUCAUGUAUCACACUUAAUAUUGAAUAUAUAUAAAAAGGGUUUUCCAAAAGGACCAUUUAUAAUCGAAAUACAAAACUUCACACACGAUUUUGAGCACAACAGGGCGCUCAGUGAACAGCACUUCCGGGACGUGCAGCACCAGAGGGGGACAUCUAUCUUGGCCACAAACCAUCUUUGACAGUCUUCGGCAGCAUGGUUGAAUCAGGCGCAUCAACACAUGAUAUAGACAUCGUGCCCAAAAGAAGAGCGAGAUGUAAUCCUGAGGCUGAAGCCAUCGAGUUUAUGUGAUCUGGAUGUGACAAGUCUUGUUUUAAGGCCCAGUGGAUCAAUGAUUGGAAAGACACCAACUGUUGAUGUUCUAUCUCAACAUUCUCCAGAUUCAUGUGAGCAAUAAACCGACUUCAUCCCUCCAACAGACACCAACUGUUGGGGUUCUAUCUCAACAUUCUCCAGAUUCAGAUGUGAGCGAUAAACCGACUUCAUCCCUCCAACAGAAACCAACUGUUGAGGUUCCAUCUCAACAUUCUCCAGAUUCAGAUGUGAGCCAUUAACUGACUUCAUCCCUCCAACAGAAACCAACUGUUGAGGUUCUAUCUCAACAUUCUCUAGAUUCAGAUGACAGCCAUAAACCGACUUCAUCCCUCCAACAGAUUGACAGCAGGACAAAUCGCUGGAAGUGGGUAUGUCUCAAGCUUCUUCCACUUGGUCCACUCCAAAGCGGGCUGCAAAGGGGAAGAAGUGGAAGCAGUUGAAUGACACAUGUUGCAUUUUGUAACUGGCAACAAAGUACCAGGUAAAAAAGAUUGUGAAGCCUCCCUCCAUAAAGAACUAGUAGCUCUACAGGACAGAGAUUGGCUUGACAUCAAGUACUACAUCCAUAACAGAAUUAUAUUUAA
This is a long non-coding RNA of Nerophis ophidion (straightnose pipefish), 1927 nucleotides long. RefSeq lists it as uncharacterized. The transcript is spliced from 8 exons. The record is from RefSeq and is a predicted model, not a curated record. NCBI's taxonomy places the organism in Eukaryota, Metazoa, Chordata, Actinopteri, Syngnathiformes, Syngnathidae.